RNAcentral lists this ribosomal RNA (439 nucleotides) under uncultured bacterium. Its description in RNAcentral is "partial 16S ribosomal RNA". It matches the Rfam family "Bacterial small subunit ribosomal RNA", at positions 338 to 795 of the family's 1533-position model. The record is from RNAcentral.
CCUACGGGGGGCAGCAGUGGGGGAUAUUGCACAAUGGGGGAAACCCUGAUGCAGCGACGCCGCGUGAAUGAUGACGGUUUUCGGGUUGUAAACUCCUGUCGUAGGGGACGAUUAUGACGGUAUCUUGCAAAUAAGCACCGGCUAACUCCGUGCCAGCAGCCGCGGUAAUACGUAGGGUGCAAGCGUUGCCCGGAAUCACUGGGCGUAAAGGGUGCGUAGGCGGGAGGAUAAGUUGAAUGUGAAAUCUUUGGGCUAAACUCAGAGCUGCAUUUGAAACUGUUCUUCUUGAGUGAUGUAGAGGCAGGCGGAAUUCCUGGUGUAGGGGUGAAAUGCGUAGAUAUUAGGAGGAACACCAGUGGCGAAGGCGACCUGCUGGAACUUUACUGACGCUGAGGCUCGAAAGCGUGGGUAGCAAACAGGAUUAGAUACCCGUGUAGUC